RNAcentral lists this ribosomal RNA (433 nucleotides) under uncultured bacterium. RNAcentral describes it as "partial 16S ribosomal RNA". It matches the Rfam family "Bacterial small subunit ribosomal RNA", at positions 29 to 507 of the family's 1533-position model. The record is from RNAcentral.
AACGAACGCUGGCGGCAUGCCUAACGCAUGCAAGUCGAACGAGACCUUCGGGUCUAGUGGCGCACGGGUGCGUAACGCGUGGGAACCUGCCCUUAGGUUCGGAAUAACUCCCCGAAAGGGGUGCUAAUACCGGAUAAUGUCUUCGGACCAAAGAUUUAUCGCCUUUGGAUGGGCCCGCGUUGGAUUAGCUAGUUGGUAGGGUAAAAGCCUACCAAGGCGACGAUCCAUAGCUGGUCUGAGAGGAUGAUCAGCCACACUGGGACUGAGACACGGCCCAGACGCCGACGGGAGGCAGCAGUGGGGAAUAAUGGAGAAUGGGCGAAAGCCUGAUCCAGCAAUGCCGCGUGAGUGAUGAAGGCCUUAGGGUUGUAAAGCUCUCUUACCAGGGAUGAUAAUGACAGUACCGGGAGAAUAAGCUCCGGCUAACUCCGUG